CCGGGAUCUUCUACUCCCACGAAAGAGUCGAGAACCCAGGUCCCACGGAGACAGGGCGCCACCUCAGCUCCCGUGAGCCAGGCCUCUCCUUGCCAACCGUGCUCAGCCGYCGUCAGUCCAUCAGCCUAGAGGGUUGAAGACCCAAAGCACAAUGAGGUGGUCCUGCUUUCCAGAGGGCAGCUCAGCAGCAGGUUUUUAAUCUUGAUGAAGUCAGCUUAUCAGUUCUCUCUUCCAUGGAUCGUACCUUUGAUAUUGCUGUUUAAAAAGUUACCACCAGACCCAARUCACCUGGGUCUCCUCCUGUUAUCUGCGGGGAAUUCUCUAGACUCUAGGAUCAGUGUGUUGAUGACUACAAAAUAACUUGCUGAGUGUGCCAUCACAUUUCCACGACGGUGACAAAGAUACGGGAGAAACCAACUUAAGGG
This is a non-coding RNA of Urocitellus parryii (Arctic ground squirrel), 425 nucleotides long. The record is from RefSeq and is a predicted model, not a curated record. NCBI's taxonomy places the organism in Eukaryota, Metazoa, Chordata, Mammalia, Rodentia, Sciuridae.